GACAAACGCUGGCGGCGUGCGUAAAACAUGCAAGUCGCACGGUCUCCUUCGGGGGACAGUGGCAGACGGCUGAGUAACGCGUAGGAACCUGCCCAUCAGUGGGGAACAACCACCCGAAAGGGGGCUAAUACCGCAUACGACCACUCCGCAAGGAGUGAGGAAAGCCGCAAGGCGCUGAUGGAGGGGCCUGCGUCCGAUUAGCUAGUUGGUGGGGUAAUGGCCUACCAAGGCGCCGACGGUAGCUGGUCUGAGAGGAUGACCAGCCAGACUGGGACUGGGACACGGCCAGACUCCUACGGGAGGCAGCAGUUAGGAAUUUUGGGCAAUGGCCGCAAGCUGACCCAGCAACGCCGCGUGGGGGACGAAGGCUCUCGGGCUGUAAAACCCCCUUUU
Molecule: ribosomal RNA, 393 nt
Filed under: uncultured bacterium
Lineage: Bacteria
Description: partial 16S ribosomal RNA
Rfam family: Bacterial small subunit ribosomal RNA
Source: RNAcentral